AGCGAACGCUGGCGGCAGGCCUAACACAUGCAAGUCGAACGAACUCUUCGGAGUUAGUGGCGGACGGGUGAGUAACACGUGGGAACGUGCCUUUAGGUUCGGAAUAACUCAGGGAAACUUGUGCUAAUACCGAAUGUGCCCUUCGGGGGAAAGAUUUAUCGCCUUUAGAGCGGCCCGCGUCUGAUUAGCUAGUUGGUGAGGUAAAGGCUCACCAAGGCGACGAUCAGUAGCUGGUCUGAGAGGAUGAUCAGCCACAUUGGGACUGAGACACGGCCCAA
This 278-nucleotide ribosomal RNA is filed under the name uncultured bacterium. RNAcentral describes it as "partial 16S ribosomal RNA". It matches the Rfam family "Bacterial small subunit ribosomal RNA", at positions 29 to 334 of the family's 1533-position model. The record is from RNAcentral.